Molecule: ribosomal RNA, 254 nt
Filed under: uncultured Chloroflexota bacterium
Lineage: Bacteria; Bacillati; Chloroflexota
Description: uncultured Chloroflexi bacterium partial 16S ribosomal RNA
Rfam family: Bacterial small subunit ribosomal RNA
Source: RNAcentral
GUUGAUUUCUCAUAGCAGACUGCCUUGUACAGCAAGGAGGAAGGUGGGGAUGACGUCAAGUCAGCAUGGCCUUUAUGCCCUGGGCUACACACACGCUACAAUGGGUGGGCACAGAGGGUUGCCACGGAGCAAUCCGGAGCGAAUCCCUUAAAACCAUCCUCAGUUCGGAUUGUAGGCUGCAAUCGCCUGCAUGAAGCCGGAGCUGCUAGUAACCGCAGGUCAGCUAUACUGCGGUGAAUACGUUCUCGGGCCUU